Long non-coding RNA from Lolium rigidum, 638 nucleotides. RefSeq lists it as uncharacterized. The record is from RefSeq and is a predicted model, not a curated record. NCBI's taxonomy places the organism in Eukaryota, Viridiplantae, Streptophyta, Magnoliopsida, Poales, Poaceae. The transcript has 3 exons.
CCAUCGGGAAGUCCACCGUGCUUAGAGCUCAUGCGUUGCCCCUGCGUACGCCCGAGUCCUACCCCAUUGUUGCGGGAAAAAAUAUCAGGAAGCUCAAUUUAAUAACAUCAGGAAGUUCAUUUUUAACCAAACUGGGCACCAUCGACCACAAGACCGGCGCCACAACUUCUCUGAACUGCCCAUGUUGUGGUGUCAUGGGAUGCCAGUGCUCUUUCCACAUUCAUGUACAAGAUGAAAAAGACGGACAGAGGAGUUCACUCAACUUGCCCAGUUGUGUGGCACUGAUGGAGGGCUCUAGUGCGGCCGCUCCGGCUCAUACUGGCGGCUCCUACUAGUACCGAACUUUCUAUUUUUCAGUGGUGAAAUGCUGCUCGUUAUAUUGAGUCGCUGCUGCUGGUUCAGUUUAGUCUGGGCUGUUCAUGCACCAACGGCUGCAACUGCGCCCAACAAAGACAUUGAACGGGAGAUGGAGCUUGAUAGCCACCGUCAAAAGUAAUUACAAUCUGACAGAUAUGUAGAAUAUUGUUGAUGUAUAUAUUUAGGCUGAGUAGUUCAUUUGAUCUAUGCACUCAUGUAUAUAAAAGUAGUGUGACAUGGGGAAAUCCAGGUUCACUUGUUCACAUAAAAUAGUUCACUUC